Molecule: long non-coding RNA, 911 nt
Organism: Octopus bimaculoides (California two-spot octopus)
Lineage: Eukaryota; Metazoa; Mollusca; Cephalopoda; Octopoda; Octopodidae
Source: RefSeq, a predicted model, not a curated record
GGACUGUUGUUGCUUGCUUUUAUUAUAUUUUAUUGUUUUGACAUGAUUAACAGAGAAAUACGACUUGAGAGUUAACUAACAUGGCAGUGAAGCAUUUGAACGUUGUGUUACGCCGGUCACUGGGGAAAUUAAUCAAUUUGAAUGCGGAGCGACACUUCAGUACUUUCCUGUGUAAGCAGUGAAAGAAAAAGAAAGAAAAUAUUUGCUUUGUCGCAAUGGAACGUGGCCAUGCUGGAGGACCGCAUUGAACCCGUUUACUCGAACAAACCGAUCCCAGCACAUAUUUCUAACGCAAGAAAAAAAGAACAACGCAUGGAUGUGGUACAUGCAAAGUAUUAAAAGACACUCAGGGAAGGAAAGAAAGGUAGUUUUACGUUUCGAGCAAAGCUCUUCUUCAGAAACAGGAGACAGAGGAAAUUUCAAGAGAAAAGGAAGACGGAGGAAAAAAGUCGCCAACGAUCCACAAGUAGUUAUAUUUUAUACAUAUAUAAGUUUCAUACGAGAAGAUGGAAUGAAAAGGCUUUUUACAAGUUCUUUUGGUUCAUGGUUACCAGUCGAUAAUUGCCUAAUACUGCAUAUAUUAAACCAUUAUUACAACAAUAUCAUCCAACAGUAGCUAUAUACGAGGUGUGUAUGAAAACAUGGUACAAGACUUCAAGGGUUAAAGGCCUUGAAGGCUCAAAACUUUUCAUACACCCCUCGUACAUGCACGACUUCCGGUUAAUACGGUCCAAAGCAGUAUUUUAUCAUUUUUAGUUUUUCUUUGUUUUAUACUCACAUCCUAAUGUUUUUAGCAUUCCAUUGACAAAGAAUAACACGGAAAUACAAAGAGAUAUAAAUGAGAAAAAAUACAAAAGAUAAGUUAAUAGAAAUAAGAAUUUUAAAAAAUAAAAAAAACCUCCUUUUCCACA